CAGAGACAACGGGCUGCCUCGCUAAACGAUGCACACCUGUAACUCACGUGACCCUGGUUAUUAUUGAAACGAGAACGAGGGCGUCGUGCCUUUAUAAGACUGCGUUAAUGGUUCCGUGGAGUUAUCCCUUCCGUUGUUGUUUAUUGAUUGUUAAACAUGGCUUCAUUUACAAAGGUGGUUGUGUGUGUCCUCAUUGCUUGUGUCUGUAAUGCAUUCGGUUUUCCGAAGAGAGAUGUGAACUUUAAGGCCUCUGCAGUUGACCGCCAAAGUGAUGAUGUGGUUGUCACCACAACAGCCGUUCCCCACAACCAGACCACCUCUGCCCCUACUGAAGCUGGUGAUGGAGCAAGUGAAGAUGCUGUGGCUACUACCCCAGCACCUAAUCCACACAACCAGACAACUUCUGCACAAACUGAAGUUACUGAUGGAGCAGGUGAAGAUGAUUCAGAUGAUGAUGAUGAUGCAGAUGAUGAUGCAAGUGACGAUGAUGCAGAUGAUGAUGAUGCAAGUGAUGAUGCUGUGGCUACCACCCCAACACCAAAUCCACCAACUACAUCUGACCGCACUGCAGCUACCGAUGAUGCAAGUGAGGGUGCUGUGGCUGCCCAAACUGGAACUACUGUAUCCCAUACGACUGAAGUCUGAUUCGACUGCUCCUCUGGUCACAAUGACCUGUCUGGACUUUUUGCCUCUACAUGUUCACUGCAAUAAAGGACAGAUUUGUAUUUUUUUUUUAAUCAAAUGUUGUCUUGCCUUUUUCAAAUUGAGGCCUUGUCCUGUUUUGGUAGUGGAGAUAACUGACGCCUCUUUCCUAACGCACUACAUUUCUGGCAACUUAUAAUGCAUAGUGAACAUGUAAUAAUUCGGUGGUAUGAUCCCAGGAGAACAUUUUUAAGAAACAAAUCACAGAAUUGUGGUUCCUCGCCGUUUUUUUUUUAAUAUAAAUCGAGGCUUUCCUCAUAAUACCGCAAGAACAAAAAGGAAAUAAAAACUAAACGAGUCAAUUCCUCAAAAUGAUAUGAAUUGCUACUGCUGCACUCGUAAAACUUCUAACUAAACUGAAAUUAAAAACCAAACUGAAA
Clupea harengus (Atlantic herring) is the source of this 1082-nucleotide long non-coding RNA. The record is from Ensembl. NCBI's taxonomy places the organism in Eukaryota, Metazoa, Chordata, Actinopteri, Clupeiformes, Clupeidae.